ACAUCAGGUGUGUGUUUCUCCUACUGU
Molecule: non-coding RNA, 27 nt
Filed under: Cricetulus griseus (Chinese hamster)
Lineage: Eukaryota; Metazoa; Chordata; Mammalia; Rodentia; Cricetidae
Source: RNAcentral